GCAAGUUAUCUGCUUGAACGGAGGGUCUUAGUACAUUAAGUAAACAUUCCAUGGACGUUGGAAUUUCUUAUUAACCACUCAGAUUUAUAAUAACCAGUUUAGCUCAUAUAGUUCCAUAAACACAUUCUUUGUUUUUCCACUAGGCUUGUAUUUCUCACAGGACAACAGUAAACUAAUUUAUUUACUUCAAAUAUUUAUUUUCAUCUAUAUAGAGAAGAGAGAAUCUCUCUCCCUACUUUAAGAACAUACAGGCAGCUCAGAGCUCUCAAGGACCUUUAAGUUCCUUCUUAACCAGUAUCAAGCCAGUUAUUUUAGAAGUAGGAGGCGGCACCGAGGUUCAAAAGAGCUUCCGUAAUACUCCUUACGAACGAGGCGGCCUGCUUGUUGCGGCUCUUCUUCAUCCCUUCCUCCUUUCUACCACCUGGAACCGAGACGGCUGGACCAUGAGGAUAAGGGCACCCACGAGGGAAGGCAGCCUGGUGAGGGGGGCCGAGGCCGAGUCCCUGAGCACACCUUGGAUCAGGCUGCCGUAUCAACCCUGCAGUGUGCACCUCUGGACUUGACUUGGAAGAAAUAAAAUUCUAUCUCGUUUAAGCCAUUGGUAUCUCAGGACUCCCUAACAUGUAGUGAAACCCUGUCUCAACAAACAUGGGUGGAGCUCCGAAGGAGAAGGAAAAUCAGUGAUUUAAAAUGCCUCCUCAUUCCACCUCCUUCUGCACGACCUGGAGAGGAGAGGAUAGAGCCCGUUCCAGAGAAGCAUGGACAGAGGCCUGCUAAAAUAACAAGACUGUCCAGAGCCUGCUGGACUCCAGGGAGCUCUACCCAUGUCUUCCCAGCCUCCUGAUAGAGAGCCUCUCCGCGUCCCAGGCCCCUGCCACAGCGUCCAUAGGGUCUGACUUGGGAAUCCCACCUCUCCUCCCAGGAAGCAGAGGAAACCCAACAGAAAGAAGGCAGCCCCUGAGCCAAGCCUUGUUCAGCCAUCACUCCCCAGCUCCCAGUCGGUAAGUAAGGAAAGAAGGAAGUCACCAAAUGGUCAAACUGACAAAGAACCAUAUUUACUGACAUAGCAAAAGAAUAAAACAAAAUGUUUUGCAAGCUUUAAAAGCAAUGGCUAGACAACUUUUAGGAAAAUGUCCAAAUAUAGUCACUACUGGUUAAAUAUACUUUUAUGAACAUAGUACAGAGUUCUUCCCGUGGCAGUGAUCUGUGUGGUGAGCUGGCCGGGCCCAAGGAUUCCAAGGACGCAUAUGAGGGAAACGCCGAGGCUGAAACAAAAAUCAGAAUCCCAUAUUCCAUCCAAAGGAGCACACGGAGGAGAGAUUGCAGAGGCGUGGACUAAAGGAACCAGGACAGUAAGAAGGUGAAAGGCAGUGACUGGAAGCUGAGAUGAGAUGCUAAACAAGGUCAGAGACACAGGAUGAAAUUGGAGUUUGCAUAAGUUCCAGAGACUGGGUCAGUUAUUACCUGGUGUGGGGAGGGCUUGUUGCAGGGAACUGGGUUGGUUUAAAGAUAGGAG
Molecule: long non-coding RNA, 1516 nt
Filed under: Equus caballus (horse)
Lineage: Eukaryota; Metazoa; Chordata; Mammalia; Perissodactyla; Equidae
Description: lncRNA (ENSECAG00000052907.1)
Source: RNAcentral